RNAcentral lists this long non-coding RNA (874 nucleotides) under Apteryx owenii (little spotted kiwi). RNAcentral's name for it is "lncRNA (ENSAOWG00000007890.1)". Lineage: Eukaryota; Metazoa; Chordata; Aves; Apterygiformes; Apterygidae. The record is from RNAcentral.
CUGGGAUACGGACGAGAGACUCGUGGAACCAAGCGGAGGUGAAGGGGCACCGGCGACCACAGGGCUUUAGCGCGGACCGUCCCCUACCCCCACCCGCCCUCCUCUCCCCUCAGACGGUUACCUGCCCUUCCGGCCGCUGCUCAUUAACGGGGCCGGUAUGUCCGCCGCCCGCGGCCCCUGCCUGCUCUGGUUGCGCCCCCGCGGGCUGGGGAGGGGAAGGGGGGCGGAGGAGGAGGGGAGCCGUUCGCGCUGUGUCUGGCUGGUCCCGGGGAGAUCGCAGCUCAGGCGGGGGGGAGGGGUCGGGAGUCGGAAGGAGAGGGCGGCGGGGGGGGGGUCGCUGGGUCUCGGCUCCUCCUCGUUUGCUUGGUCCCCGCUCAGCUCCCCGCAGCCAUCGGGAAGCGAGAGCCUGGGCGCGGUAACCUCCGCCCCGCCCGUGCUGCCCGGCCGGGAAACCCCGGCUCGGCUCGGCUCGGCGCUCCGCCCCGCCCCGCCACCACCCCCGGCACCGCCCCACCCUGCCCCCCUCGCACCUCCGGGUGGCGGCAGGCCUAGGCCCCGCUGCGCUGGAGGCACCGCUGUCUCGACGGUGACACGCCAGCACGGCCGGGAGGGCCGUGGCUACGACUGGACCUCACAUGAGCCAGGCAGGGCAGGUAUUACCAAGACAGAAUCGUUUCACGUCAGCACUCAUGGACUAAAGCUUCAAUACUUAAUGAUACAAAGCAGUUUCCUCUACUUCUGAAACAUGGUCUUCCACAGGAGGAGUAUUUAUACAGCAUCUUCCACCCAAAAGCACUAUGCAAAGCAGUAGGUAGAUUGCAUUUAUUUUUCCUGUUUUCAGGCUGCUCAUCCAUUUCUGAUGAAACAGCUCAUG